GGGGGCGUAAUGGUUUCGACGGGGUCUUGAAGGUUUGAGUGGCGAGUCGUGUAAUUCCUCUAUCACGUUAAUCUUUGAGGAGCUAAAUAUAAACGCAAACGAAAAUAACUUAGUAGCUGCCUAAUUGCGGCUUCUGUUCCCUUCGGUCCUCCUGCCGACCGGAGCUGAACAUCAACUAUGCAGGGAACUGUAUUGCGGACAUCCGGACGUAAUAUAGAACUAUUCGGAAGUAGUGAAUCUCUAGCCGGUUUUCCGGGCGAUUGAAACACGAAAUAUAAAACGGAAAACUACACUCGUAGAAGCUUGAAUUGAAUUGAUUUCGGACAUGGGUUCGACUCCCAUCGUCUCCACCA
This 353-nucleotide transfer-messenger RNA is filed under the name Filifactor alocis. It matches the Rfam family "transfer-messenger RNA". From Rfam's summary of the family: Bacterial tmRNA, also known as 10Sa RNA or SsrA, is named for its dual tRNA and mRNA-like properties. Its role is to liberate the mRNA from a stalled ribosome. Lineage: Bacteria; Bacillati; Bacillota; Clostridia; Peptostreptococcales; Filifactoraceae. The record is from RNAcentral.